CAAGAAGUGCCUGGCCCCUCCGGUAGGGGGGCUAGGACGCUAAGCCGCCCGGUGGAUGGCUCGGCUCGGGGCGCCGACGAAGGGCGUGGC
RNAcentral lists this ribosomal RNA (90 nucleotides) under Pyrococcus sp. Ax99-7. Its description in RNAcentral is "partial 23S ribosomal RNA". Lineage: Archaea; Methanobacteriati; Methanobacteriota; Thermococci; Thermococcales; Thermococcaceae. The record is from RNAcentral.